This 771-nucleotide long non-coding RNA is filed under the name Gallus gallus (chicken). Lineage: Eukaryota; Metazoa; Chordata; Aves; Galliformes; Phasianidae. The record is from RNAcentral.
CUUUGCCUUUGGAUCAGCUCCAGGUACUUUUUUGGACAUCCCUGAACCACUCAUCUUUCAGAAGUGCAAAGAGAUGUCUACUGUGACCUAUUUUGGUGAAUGAACUUCAAAUUCAAAUGGAUGUUGGCUAGGACAAUUACAACAUGAUUAAUUAAUACAAUUUAUCACUUUGUUAAUUACUAGUUUGCAGCCUGAUCCAGGAAUUCUUUGUGCAGUUCUGUUAAUACAAUCGCAUGUGAGACCUUGAGGCCAAAACUUUUCAGGGAUAUCCAUCUGUAUACUUUCAUACAUAAGUGGUAUUACUGAAGUCAGUGGGACCUGUUAGAAGUAUAAAGCUGCACAUGGAAACGGUUGCAGAAGUGAAGCCUUUAUUUGCCUUUGUUAUCAAUUGCUUAGUGUAAUUUCAUGUACAUAUUCUGUGUAUUCUUAUAUGUAUAUAUUUACAUGUGCACCUCAGCUGAACAGUCUUCUAGUAAUUCUAAUGUUCAACUUUGAUGUGCUUUAUGCUCAAGAAAUCAAGGUUGAUUAUUUUAUUUUAUUUUAUUUUAUUUUUAUAUUGCCUAAAUAAUACUAUUUGUACUUUGUCAUUUAGUUUAGGGUAAUGUCCAUAGUAAUGUAUUUUUUGCAGUUCUCAUUGGCUUUGGGGAGUUCACUGGCUGAGGAAGGACAAUUCUGAUUGAGAUAAAUUCUUCCUGACACUCAGACCUACCCUUUGACGUAUAUCCUCUAUUUCUGCUUUCUUUUACACACGCUCUUCCUUUUGUUCAUGAC